UACGAAGGGGGCUAGCGUUGUUCGGAAUUACUGGGCGUAAAGGGCGCGUAGGCGGCCUUCUAAGUCGAACGUGAAAUCCCCGGGCUCAACCCGGGAACUGCGUCCGAGACUGGAAGGCUCGAAUCCGGGAGAGGGAUGUGGAAUUCCAGGUGUAGCGGUGAAAUGCGUAGAUAUCUGGAGGAACAUCGGUGGCGAAGGCGGCAUCCUGGACCGGUAUUGACGCUGAGGCGCGAAAGCCAGGGGAGCAAACGGG
This 253-nucleotide ribosomal RNA is filed under the name uncultured bacterium. RNAcentral's name for it is "partial 16S ribosomal RNA". It matches the Rfam family "Bacterial small subunit ribosomal RNA", at positions 524 to 776 of the family's 1533-position model. The record is from RNAcentral.